Molecule: non-coding RNA, 168 nt
Filed under: pig gut metagenome
Description: Lysine riboswitch
Rfam family: Lysine riboswitch aptamer
About the family: Riboswitches are metabolite binding domains within certain messenger RNAs that serve as precision sensors for their corresponding targets. Allosteric rearrangement of mRNA structure is mediated by ligand binding, and this results in modulation of gene expression. This family includes riboswitches that sense lysine in a number of genes involved in lysine metabolism, including lysC.
Source: RNAcentral
AUCAGAGGCGCACGGCUCAGGAGUACCGAAGCGGAGGAACGAUCCUUCCCAUGAGGCUUCGGAAAAGGGUGUCGUGCCGAAAGGACUGCGAGGCAUCGGCGCAGCCGCUUGGGUGCAGGCCAAACAGGUCUGCAACUGUCAUCGGGUCGGUGACCCGGCGGAGCGCUG